Molecule: ribosomal RNA, 466 nt
Filed under: uncultured bacterium
Lineage: Bacteria
Description: partial 16S ribosomal RNA
Rfam family: Bacterial small subunit ribosomal RNA
Source: RNAcentral
GACGAACGCUGGCGGCGUGCUUAACACAUGCAAGUCGAACGGUAAGGCUCCAGCUUGCUGGGGUACACGAGUGGCGAACGGGUGAGUAACACGUGGGUGACCUGCCCUGCACUUCGGGAUAAGCCUGGGAAACUGGGUCUAAUACCGGAUAGGACCAUGGUGUGGAUACUGUGGUGGAAAGUUUUUUCGGUGUGGGAUGGGCCCGCGGCCUAUCAGCUUGUUGGUGGGGUAAUGGCGUACCAAGGCGGCGACGGGUAGCCGGCCUGAGAGGGUGGACGGCCACAUUGGGACUGAGACACGGCCCAGACUCCUACGGGAGGCAGCAGUGGGGAAUAUUGCACAAUGGGCGGAAGCCUGAUGCAGCGACGCCGCGUGGGGGAUGACGGCCUUCGGGUUGUAAACUCCUUUCACCAUCGACGAAGGGUUUCUGACGGUAGAUGGAGAAGAAGCACCGGCUAACUACGUG